This 301-nucleotide ribosomal RNA is filed under the name uncultured bacterium. RNAcentral describes it as "partial 16S ribosomal RNA". It matches the Rfam family "Bacterial small subunit ribosomal RNA", at positions 509 to 808 of the family's 1533-position model. The record is from RNAcentral.
CAGUAGCCGCGGUAAUACGUAGGGUGCAGCGUUAAUCGGAAUUACUGGGCGUAAAGCGUGCGCAGGCGGUUAUAUAAGUCAGAUGUGAAAUCCCCGGGCUCAACCUGGGAACUGCAUUUGAGACUGUAUGGCUAGAGUGUGUCAGAGGGGGGUAGAAUUCCACGUGUAGCAGUGAAAUGCGUAGAUAUGUAGAGGAAUACCGAUGGCGAAGGCAGCCCCCUGGGAUAACACUGACGCUCAUGCACGAAAGCGUGGGGAGCAAACAGGAUUAGAUACCCCCGUAGUCCCUGUCUCUUAUACA